This 76-nucleotide transfer RNA is filed under the name Actinomycetota bacterium. Its description in RNAcentral is "Actinobacteria bacterium (freshwater metagenome) tRNA-His". It matches the Rfam family "tRNA". Rfam says of the family: Transfer RNA (tRNA) molecules are approximately 80 nucleotides in length. Their secondary structure includes four short double-helical elements and three loops (D, anti-codon, and T loops). RNAcentral also lists the same sequence under 1 other name. The record is from RNAcentral. Lineage: Bacteria; Bacillati; Actinomycetota.
GUGAGAAUAGCUCAGCUGGUAGAGCACAGGAUUGUGGAUCCUGGGGUCGCGGGUUCGAUCCCCGUUUCUCACCCCA